This 375-nucleotide long non-coding RNA is filed under the name Carica papaya (papaya). RNAcentral's name for it is "long non-coding RNA (CPAP_LNC013531)". The record is from RNAcentral. Lineage: Eukaryota; Viridiplantae; Streptophyta; Magnoliopsida; Brassicales; Caricaceae.
UAAACCUUUGAAAAAUGGAAGAAUGGAAGUGUGGAGAGGAAGGGAAGGGGGAGGGCAAUUUAUAGAGUUUUAGAACCAUCGGAUUUGCUCCAAGUGGUGAAAUUCAAACGCGCGUGCAAGUCCUGAUCCCACGCCAUGCGCACAGACAAGACAUGCGUGCAUCCGUGUGGAGGGGAGGUGUGCGCUAUGCACACGUCCUGCGGUCACUGUGUGCAUGCACGUGCGCACUGUGACCAGCAGCCGCACGGGCAACUAGCCUUCUUGCAGGAUUUUUCCUGUAGGAAUUUUUCCCAUUUCAACGUUUUUAUGAUUUUUUUGAAUUUCAUUCUCAAUUUAAUUUAGUUAAAUAAAAUUACUUAAAAUAAAAUAAUAAAU